Molecule: ribosomal RNA, 2291 nt
Filed under: Escherichia coli
Lineage: Bacteria; Pseudomonadati; Pseudomonadota; Gammaproteobacteria; Enterobacterales; Enterobacteriaceae
Description: partial 23S ribosomal RNA
Rfam family: Bacterial large subunit ribosomal RNA
Source: RNAcentral
GUGGUAUCCUGUCUGAAUAUGGGGGGACCAUCCUCCAAGGCUAAAUACUCCUGACUGACCGAUAGUGAACCAGUACCGUGAGGGAAAGGCGAAAAGAACCCCGGCGAGGGGAGUGAAAAAGAACCUGAAACCGUGUACGUACAAGCAGUGGGAGCACGCUUAGGCGUGUGACUGCGUACCUUUUGUAUAAUGGGUCAGCGACUUAUAUUCUGUAGCAAGGUUAACCGAAUAGGGGAGCCGAAGGGAAACCGAGUCUUAACUGGGCGUUAAGUUGCAGGGUAUAGACCCGAAACCCGGUGAUCUAGCCAUGGGCAGGUUGAAGGUUGGGUAACACUAACUGGAGGACCGAACCGACUAAUGUUGAAAAAUUAGCGGAUGACUUGUGGCUGGGGGUGAAAGGCCAAUCAAACCGGGAGAUAGCUGGUUCUCCCCGAAAGCUAUUUAGGUAGCGCCUCGUGAAUUCAUCUCCGGGGGUAGAGCACUGUUUCGGCAAGGGGGUCAUCCCGACUUACCAACCCGAUGCAAACUGCGAAUACCGGAGAAUGUUAUCACGGGAGACACACGGCGGGUGCUAACGUCCGUCGUGAAGAGGGAAACAACCCAGACCGCCAGCUAAGGUCCCAAAGUCAUGGUUAAGUGGGAAACGAUGUGGGAAGGCCCAGACAGCCAGGAUGUUGGCUUAGAAGCAGCCAUCAUUUAAAGAAAGCGUAAUAGCUCACUGGUCGAGUCGGCCUGCGCGGAAGAUGUAACGGGGCUAAACCAUGCACCGAAGCUGCGGCAGCGACGCUUAUGCGUUGUUGGGUAGGGGAGCGUUCUGUAAGCCUGCGAAGGUGUGCUGUGAGGCAUGCUGGAGGUAUCAGAAGUGCGAAUGCUGACAUAAGUAACGAUAAAGCGGGUGAAAAGCCCGCUCGCCGGAAGACCAAGGGUUCCUGUCCAACGUUAAUCGGGGCAGGGUGAGUCGACCCCUAAGGCGAGGCCGAAAGGCGUAGUCGAUGGGAAACAGGUUAAUAUUCCUGUACUUGGUGUUACUGCGAAGGGGGGACGGAGAAGGCUAUGUUGGCCGGGCGACGGUUGUCCCGGUUUAAGCGUGUAGGCUGGUUUUCCAGGCAAAUCCGGAAAAUCAAGGCUGAGGCGUGAUGACGAGGCACUACGGUGCUGAAGCAACAAAUGCCCUGCUUCCAGGAAAAGCCUCUAAGCAUCAGGUAACAUCAAAUCGUACCCCAAACCGACACAGGUGGUCAGGUAGAGAAUACCAAGGCGCUUGAGAGAACUCGGGUGAAGGAACUAGGCAAAAUGGUGCCGUAACUUCGGGAGAAGGCACGCUGAUAUGUAGGUGAAGUCCCUCGCGGAUGGAGCUGAAAUCAGUCGAAGAUACCAGCUGGCUGCAACUGUUUAUUAAAAACACAGCACUGUGCAAACACGAAAGUGGACGUAUACGGUGUGACGCCUGCCCGGUGCCGGAAGGUUAAUUGAUGGGGUCAGCGCAAGCGAAGCUCUUGAUCGAAGCCCCGGUAAACGGCGGCCGUAACUAUAACGGUCCUAAGGUAGCGAAAUUCCUUGUCGGGUAAGUUCCGACCUGCACGAAUGGCGUAAUGAUGGCCAGGCUGUCUCCACCCGAGACUCAGUGAAAUUGAACUCGCUGUGAAGAUGCAGUGUACCCGCGGCAAGACGGAAAGACCCCGUGAACCUUUACUAUAGCUUGACACUGAACAUUGAGCCUUGAUGUGUAGGAUAGGUGGGAGGCUUUGAAGUGUGGACGCCAGUCUGCAUGGAGCCGACCUUGAAAUACCACCCUUUAAUGUUUGAUGUUCUAACGUUGACCCGUAAUCCGGGUUGCGGACAGUGUCUGGUGGGUAGUUUGACUGGGGCGGUCUCCUCCUAAAGAGUAACGGAGGAGCACGAAGGUUGGCUAAUCCUGGUCGGACAUCAGGAGGUUAGUGCAAUGGCAUAAGCCAGCUUGACUGCGAGCGUGACGGCGCGAGCAGGUGCGAAAGCAGGUCAUAGUGAUCCGGUGGUUCUGAAUGGAAGGGCCAUCGCUCAACGGAUAAAAGGUACUCCGGGGAUAACAGGCUGAUACCGCCCAAGAGUUCAUAUCGACGGCGGUGUUUGGCACCUCGAUGUCGGCUCAUCACAUCCUGGGGCUGAAGUAGGUCCCAAGGGUAUGGCUGUUCGCCAUUUAAAGUGGUACGCGAGCUGGGUUUAGAACGUCGUGAGACAGUUCGGUCCCUAUCUGCCGUGGGCGCUGGAGAACUGAGGGGGGCUGCUCCUAGUACGAGAGGACCGGAGUGGAC